CAGACAAAGACUAGCGGCAAGAAUCAGAAGUCGGAAAGCAUCCAGGCUUAUCUCAGCAGGUUUGGUGUUUUUAUCUAAGCAAGAAACUCAUCCAGCCUAAUCUUCUCCACAUUUUCUAUUUCUAAGGGCUUGGUUUUUGCAGCCACUUUCCUGCCUGCUCAGGGGAGAUUUUCCAGAAAAGACCUCAUAGCAUUUCCACUGCUCAGCCAUGCUCCUGUUUCUCAUCUCAACACUGGGGAUUGUAGUUACCCUGAGAGAUGCCAGAGCCCAGUCAGUGACCCAACCUGAUGGCCAUGUCUUGGUCUCUGAAGCAGCCUCACUGGAACUGAGGUGCAACUAUUCCUAUGGUGCAGCAGUUUACCUCUUCUGGUACGUCCAGUACCCCCGCCAAGGCCUCCAGCUUCUCCUUAAGCAUUUUUCAGGCCAGGACACCCGCGUUCCAGGCAUUAAAGGAUUUGAAGCUGAAUUUAGGAAGAGUAACUCUUCCUUCAACCUGAGGAAAUCCUCUGCCCAUUGGAGCGACUCGGCUGAGUACUUCUGUGCUGUGAGUGACACAGUGCCUGGGACUGCAGGGGGAGCUGAACACAAACCACUCAGGGGAGUGGAGUUUUCAGAGACUCAAGAUGCCUUCCUGUGGUAUUUUGAACAAUGUUUUAUUGUAUGAUGGCAAAUGAGGCAAAGAGGGCUGAGCAGAA
This is a non-coding RNA of Equus caballus (horse), 695 nucleotides long. The record is from the annotation of a RefSeq genome assembly. NCBI's taxonomy places the organism in Eukaryota, Metazoa, Chordata, Mammalia, Perissodactyla, Equidae.